This 390-nucleotide ribosomal RNA is filed under the name Escherichia coli. RNAcentral describes it as "partial 23S ribosomal RNA". It matches the Rfam family "Bacterial large subunit ribosomal RNA", at positions 803 to 1191 of the family's 2925-position model. The record is from RNAcentral. Lineage: Bacteria; Pseudomonadati; Pseudomonadota; Gammaproteobacteria; Enterobacterales; Enterobacteriaceae.
GAUGACUUGUGGCUGGGGGUGAAAGGCCAAUCAAACCGGGAGAUAGCUGGUUCUCCCCGAAAGCUAUUUAGGUAGCGCCUCGUGAAUUCAUCUCCGGGGGUAGAGCACUGUUUCGGCAAGGGGGUCAUCCCGACUUACCAACCCGAUGCAAACUGCGAAUACCGGAGAAUGUUAUCACGGGAGACACACGGCGGGUGCUAACGUCCGUCGUGAAGAGGGAAACAACCCAGACCGCCAGCUAAGGUCCCAAAGUCAUGGUUAAGUGGGAAACGAUGUGGGAAGGCCCAGACAGCCAGGAUGUUGGCUUAGAAGCAGCCAUCAUUUAAAGAAAGCGUAAUAGCUCACUGGUCGAGUCGGCCUGCGCGGAAGAUGUAACGGGGCUAAACCAUG